RNAcentral lists this ribosomal RNA (274 nucleotides) under uncultured bacterium. Its description in RNAcentral is "partial 16S ribosomal RNA". It matches the Rfam family "Bacterial small subunit ribosomal RNA", at positions 523 to 796 of the family's 1533-position model. The record is from RNAcentral.
AUACGGAGGGUCCAAGCGUUAUGCGGAAUCAUUGGGUUUAAAGGGUUCGCAGGCGGUCAAUUAAGUCAGAGGUGAAAGCCCAUCGCUCAACGAUGGAACUGCCUUUGAUACUGGUUGACUUGAGUUAUACGGAAGUAGAUAGAAUAAGUAGUGUAGCGGUGAAAUGCAUAGAUAUUACUUAGAAUACCGAUUGCGAAGGCAGUCUACCACGUAUAUACUGACGCUGAGGGACGAAAGCGUGGGGAGCGAACAGGAUUAGAUACCCUAGUAGUCC